RNAcentral lists this ribosomal RNA (916 nucleotides) under Bacillus licheniformis. RNAcentral describes it as "bacterial SSU rRNA". It matches the Rfam family "Bacterial small subunit ribosomal RNA", at positions 50 to 948 of the family's 1533-position model. The record is from RNAcentral. Lineage: Bacteria; Bacillati; Bacillota; Bacilli; Caryophanales; Bacillaceae.
GCUAUCUGCAGUCGAGCGGACGACGGGAGCUUGCUCCCUUAGGUCAGCGGCGGACGGGUGAGUAACACGUGGGUAACCUGCCUGUAAGACUGGGAUAACUCCGGGAAACCGGGGCUAAUACCGGAUGCUUGAUUGAACCGCAUGGUUCAAUCAUAAAAGGUGGCUUUUAGCUACCACUUACAGAUGGACCCGCGGCGCAUUAGCUAGUUGGUGAGGUAACGGCUCACCAAGGCGACGAUGCGUAGCCGACCUGAGAGGGUGAUCGGCCACACUGGGACUGAGACACGGCCCAGACUCCUACGGGAGGCAGCAGUAGGGAAUCUUCCGCAAUGGACGAAAGUCUGACGGAGCAACGCCGCGUGAGUGAUGAAGGUUUUCGGAUCGUAAAACUCUGUUGUUAGGGAAGAACAAGUACCGUUCGAAUAGGGCGGCACCUUGACGGUACCUAACCAGAAAGCCACGGCUAACUACGUGCCAGCAGCCGCGGUAAUACGUAGGUGGCAAGCGUUGUCCGGAAUUAUUGGGCGUAAAGCGCGCGCAGGCGGUUUCUUAAGUCUGAUGUGAAAGCCCCCGGCUCAACCGGGGAGGGUCAUUGGAAACUGGGGAACUUGAGUGCAGAAGAGGAGAGUGGAAUUCCACGUGUAGCGGUGAAAUGCGUAGAGAUGUGGAGGAACACCAGUGGCGAAGGCGACUCUCUGGUCUGUAACUGACGCUGAGGCGCGAAAGCGUGGGGAGCGAACAGGAUUAGAUACCCUGGUAGUCCACGCCGUAAACGAUGAGUGCUAAGUGUUAGAGGGUUUCCGCCCUUUAGUGCUGCAGCAAACGCAUUAAGCACUCCGCCUGGGGAGUACGGUCGCAAGACUGAAACUCAAAGGAAUUGACGGGGGCCCGCACAAGCGGUGGAGCAUGUGGUUUA